Molecule: unclassified non-coding RNA, 330 nt
Filed under: soil metagenome
Description: partial contains 5.8S ribosomal RNA, internal transcribed spacer 2, and large subunit ribosomal RNA
Rfam family: 5.8S ribosomal RNA (bases 1-120)
Source: RNAcentral
GAUGAAGAACGUAGCGAAAUGCGAUAAGUAGUGUGAAUUGCAGAAUUCAGUGAAUCAUCGAAUCUUUGAACGCACAUUGCGCCCCUUGGUAUUCCAUGGGGCAUGCCUGUUCGAGCGUCAUUUGUACCUUCAAGCUUUGCUUGGUGUUGGGUGUUUGUCCAUUCUCUUGCAGAGGGACUCGCCUUAAAGUAAUUGGCAGCCAGUGUUUUGGUUUUGAAGCGCAGCACAAGUCGCGAUUCAAAGCUAUACGCCCGCUUCCACAAGCCUUUUUCACUUUUGACCUCGGAUCAGGUAGGGAUACCCGCUGAACUUAAGCAUAUCAAUAAGCGA